AUUUCAGCUUGUUCCGUGUCUGGAUCUGCUCCUGCACCCGGGCAGACAAUGAGAUUCCUGCCACUGCCCGCAUCCCCCUUGCCUGGGCUCUUCCUGGGAAUUUAGUGACCUGAAUUUAAUGAAGCCCGGUGUAUCUUGGAGAGCUUACACGCCUGGGAUGGGAAAGAUGUACCCGCCGAUGAACUCGUGCACCACUUUGCAAUCCACCUCCGUGCAGAUGAAGGACACCCGGACGUCGUCCGCGAACUCCACCGUCACCUGGAGCGCGAGAGCACAGCGUCAGCCCCCCCGGCCUUCCCAAGGGAACUGCUGCCUCCUUUCUCCCUGAUUUUUCUGUCUACUCAGGGUCACACUCUACUCCACCAGCAGCUGGGACAAGCUCUGCUUGAUCUCCAAGGAGGGUGGAAGAGGAGGGAGGAAAAACUGUAUUACAUCAAUAUAGUAACAUCCACACCUGGAGCAAUGUGUCCAGCUCAAGAAAGACAUGGAGCUGCUGGAGCAAGUCCAGAGGAGGUCAUGGAGA
This is a long non-coding RNA of Pipra filicauda (Wire-tailed manakin), 523 nucleotides long. RefSeq lists it as uncharacterized. Lineage: Eukaryota; Metazoa; Chordata; Aves; Passeriformes; Pipridae. The transcript has 3 exons. The record is from RefSeq and is a predicted model, not a curated record.